AUUGGGCCCCUUCAAAAUUACUAGGAGCGUUUAGGGUGAGCGACCAUGGACCUGAAUUCAAUAGCAAUUUCUCUUGAUGAUUGAAUGCCGUCUUUAAGCUCGAAGAGGGUAUACAAAAGAAAGGAGCAGCAUUGUGGUUAUUGGGCUUAGCGUGCACACAACUCCUAUGGAGAUGCGUGAGAAACUUGCCAAUUCUGAGGCAGAAUGGCCUUGAGCCAUUGGAGAACUCUGUAGUUUGAAUCAUAUAGAAGAAGCGGUUGUAACAUAAUGGAGAUAUAUGUUGUCGCUUUGUCUCAGCAUCGUGGGGUUAAAGAAGUGACUGAAUGGAUGUCUAAUGUGAUUUACUUUUGCUCCUUGUCAUGACUAUAAUUUGGAUUCUUGCAAUAAUUAAUUGCCCUAUGAUACUUGUUUUA
Eucalyptus grandis is the source of this 413-nucleotide long non-coding RNA. RefSeq lists it as uncharacterized. Lineage: Eukaryota; Viridiplantae; Streptophyta; Magnoliopsida; Myrtales; Myrtaceae. The record is from RefSeq and is a predicted model, not a curated record. The transcript is spliced from 2 exons.